AGUGAACGCUGGCGGCGUGCCUAAUACAUGCAAGUCGAACGGAAUUUAAAAGAGCUUGCUCUUUUAAAUUUAGUGGCGCACGGGUGAGUAAUAUAUAGCUAAUCUGCCCCUUGCUGGAGGACAACAGUUAGAAAUGACUGCUAAUACUCCAUACUCCUUUUUACCAUAAGAUAAAUCGGGAAAGAAUUUCGGCAAGGGAUGAGACUAUAUCGUAUCAGCUAGUCGGUGGGGUAACGGCCUACCGAGGCUAUGACGCGUAACUGGUCUGAGAGGAUGAUCAGUCACAUUGGAACUGAGACACGGUCCAAACUCCUACGGGAGGCAGCAGUAGGGAAUAUUGCGCAAUGGGGGAAACCCUGACGCAGCAACGCCGCGUGGAGGAUGACACUUUUCGGAGCGUAAACUCCUUUUGUUAGGGAAGAAUAAUGAC
Molecule: ribosomal RNA, 430 nt
Filed under: Campylobacter gracilis
Lineage: Bacteria; Pseudomonadati; Campylobacterota; Epsilonproteobacteria; Campylobacterales; Campylobacteraceae
Description: bacterial SSU rRNA
Rfam family: Bacterial small subunit ribosomal RNA
Source: RNAcentral